RNAcentral lists this long non-coding RNA (880 nucleotides) under Vigna radiata. Its description in RNAcentral is "long non-coding RNA (VRAD_LNC008197)". Lineage: Eukaryota; Viridiplantae; Streptophyta; Magnoliopsida; Fabales; Fabaceae. The record is from RNAcentral.
AUAAAAUGAUAAAAACCUAAACACACAAAAAAUGCUAAAAGAAAUAAACCUAAACAAGACUAACUAAACACCCUAAAACUCAACACAACACAACUAAACAUGCGACACACACACAUACAAUAACGCACACACAAAAACAGAACAUCACACUCACAACACAGGACAAAACACAACAAAAGACCUAAGACUGAACCAUUGGUCCCCGGCAACGGUGCCAAAAUUUUUAUGGGUGUCGCAGCCCAUGCAAAUUUAAUGUGCAGUUUAUAAAUGCAGUAUAAACUAAGAAGUGACUCCUAGGUCGUCUCUCAAGGAUCAAACUGUGGUUCGAGAAUCAGGUCUAAUACAAAGUGAGGGAAUUUAGAUGAAAGAUUUUUUGAAUGCUAAUGACUAAAUUAAAAUGGAAAUUAAACACGACCAAAUAUAAUUAACAAUCAUUAAAGUAAAGAUUAGAAUUAAAAUAAAAAUAAAAAUAAAAGAUAAGACACUAAAGAAAAUAGCCUGACUGACAAUUAAUUAAACAUGCAUUGCAUAAGAAAAUUAAGACAUAAAAAAAGAACAUGGUGAAUAUGAGUAAGAACAGUAGCUUAAGUUGGUAGAGCGGCACCGUGCAACAAUGGUAAAAUUUCAAUCCCUAAUCAUGUGAACUAUUUGAAUGCAAUUGUGAAUUAAAGAAAGCCUUGCUCCAGCGUGAUUUUCCAAAGGUAAAAAAAAAUCUUGUAAAAUGAAGUCAACAUAUCCUCUGCAGCCGUCACAUCACUAGACACCAUCUAAUCUAUUUUUCAUUUAUGAAAGCAAAAGAAAUGCUAAUUUUCCUUCCAGCAGCCGUGACCCACCUUCACUCCAAGCAAUUGAAUAAAAAUUCAUUUCUCCAAGUCCACCA